AGUGAACGCUGGCGGUAGGCCUAACACAUGCAAGUCGAACGGCAGCACAGUAAGAGCUUGCUCUUACGGGUGGCGAGUGGCGGACGGGUGAGGAAUACAUCGGAAUCUACUUUUUCGUGGGGGAUAACGUAGGGAAACUUACGCUAAUACCGCAUACGACCUACGGGUGAAAGCAGGGGAUCUUCGGACCUUGCGCGAUUGAAUGAGCCGAUGUCGGAUUAGCUAGUUGGCAGGGUAAAGGCCCACCAAGGCGACGAUCCGUAGCUGGUCUGAGAGGAUGAUCAGCCACACUGGAACUGAGACACGGUCCAGACUCCUACGGGAGGCAGCAGUGGGGAAUAUUGGACAAUGGGCGCAAGCCUGAUCCAGCCAUACCGCGUGGGUGAAGAAGGCCUUCGGGUUGUAAAGCCCUUUUGUUGGGAAAGAAAAGCAGCAGGUUAAUACCCCGCUGUUCUGACGGUACCCAAAGAAUAAGCACCGGCUAACUUCGUG
Molecule: ribosomal RNA, 492 nt
Filed under: uncultured bacterium
Lineage: Bacteria
Description: partial 16S ribosomal RNA
Rfam family: Bacterial small subunit ribosomal RNA
Source: RNAcentral